Non-coding RNA from Danio rerio (zebrafish), 74 nucleotides. Lineage: Eukaryota; Metazoa; Chordata; Actinopteri; Cypriniformes; Danionidae. The record is from Rfam.
GUGUCUGUGGCGCAAUAGGUUAGGGUGUUCGGCUGUUAACUGAAAAAUUGGUGGUUCAAGCCCACUCAGGGACG